GUUUGCACAGUCCAGCAUGGCUCCUCACUGGGCCGGGCUGUAGCUGGCUGGGUUUUGUUGGUGAGGUUUAGGUAGCACAGUUUUAGGAUAUGGGUAUAAACAUUAAUAUUUCUCCCCAAGAAUUCUCAUCUAGACAGAUGAAAGCCGUCUGUGGCUUUACAAGGUAAGACCCCCGUGGAGGGCAGGUUCUUGGUGACCAUUCCUCCCAGGGCCCCAUGGGGCUGGCAGCCAGAGCACUGGCCCCACCGCAGGGUGCCCGUCCCUGGCUCCUCAGCUCCUGCACAGCAGCCAGCUGGCCGUGCCCUGGCUGACCGCCGUUCUCUCUCUUCUCUCCCGGCUACAGUUUGCUUCCUCAGGGCUUUUUACUAUCUGGCUCCUUUGGUUUCUGAUCUAGUGGCCUUUCUCAGUUCCCGUAUCAACAGCUUUAGUUGUACACCCCUCCUGCCUUUGAGGAUGACAUGCACAGGGUCAUUGACCGGCAGCUGAUGGACACGCACCUGAAGGAACGGAGCCAGCCAGCUGCUGCCCUCUGCAGGGG
This 538-nucleotide long non-coding RNA is filed under the name Macaca mulatta (Rhesus monkey). RNAcentral's name for it is "lncRNA (ENSMMUG00000055209.1)". Lineage: Eukaryota; Metazoa; Chordata; Mammalia; Primates; Cercopithecidae. The record is from RNAcentral.